RNAcentral lists this ribosomal RNA (426 nucleotides) under uncultured bacterium. Its description in RNAcentral is "bacterial SSU rRNA". It matches the Rfam family "Bacterial small subunit ribosomal RNA", at positions 29 to 470 of the family's 1533-position model. The record is from RNAcentral.
AAUGAACGUUGGCGGUGUGGAUUAGGCAUGCAAGUCGAGCGCGAUAUGUAGCAAUACAUGGAGAGCGGCGAAAGGGAGAGUAAUACGUAGGUAUCUACCCUCGGGUCUGGGAUAGCAGCGGGAAACUGCUGGUAAUACCAGAUAACGUCUCCGGACCAAAGGUGUGAUUCCACCUGAGGAGGAGCCUACGGCCUAUUAGCUAGUUGGUAGGGUAACGGCCUACCAAGGCAAAGAUGGGUAUGGGGUGUGAGAGCAUGCCCCCACUCACUGGGACUGAGACACUGCCCAGACACCUACGGGUGGCUGCCAGUCGAGAAUCUUCGGCAAUGGGCGAAAGCCUGACCGAGCGACGCCGCGUGCGGGAUGAAGGCCUUCGGGUUGUAAACCGCUGUCGUAGUGGAGGAAAUGUAGGAGAGUUAUCUCUUC